UAGGGAAUCUUCGGCAAUGGGGGGAACCCUGACCGAGCAACGCCGCGUGAGUGAAGAAGGUUUUCGGAUCGUAAAGCUCUGUUGUUAAGGAAGAACGAGUGUGGGAAUGGAAAGUUCAUACUGUGACGGUACUUAACCAGAAAGGGACGGCUAACUACGUGCCAGCAGCCGCGGUAAUACGUAGGUCCCGAGCGUUGUCCGGAUUUAUUGGGCGUAAAGCGAGCGCAGGCGGUUAGAUAAGUCUGAAGUUAAAGGCAGUGGCUCAACCAUUGUAGGCUUUGGAAACUGUUUAACUUGAGUGCAGAAGGGGAGAGUGGAAUUCCAUGUGUAGCGGUGAAAUGCGUAGAUAUAUGGAGGAACACCGGUGGCGAAAGCGGCUCUCUGGUCUGUAACUGACGCUGAGGCUCGAAAGCGUGGGGAGCGAACAGG
RNAcentral lists this ribosomal RNA (429 nucleotides) under Bacteroidota bacterium. Its description in RNAcentral is "Bacteroidetes bacterium partial 16S ribosomal RNA". It matches the Rfam family "Bacterial small subunit ribosomal RNA", at positions 355 to 776 of the family's 1533-position model. The record is from RNAcentral. Lineage: Bacteria; Pseudomonadati; Bacteroidota.